UAAUACGUAGGGGGCGAGCGUUGCUCGGAUUGACUGGGCGUAAAGCGCGCGUAGGCGGUCCAUUAAGUGUGCGGUGAAAUUCAGAGGCUCAACCUCUGUCCCGCCGCGCAAACUGGUGGUCUUGAGAUUGGGAGGGGGAUGCGGAAUUCCUGGUGUAGCGGUGAAAUGCAUUGAUAUCAGGAGGAACACCGGCGGCGAAAGCGGCAUCCUGGCUUAUAUCUGACGCUGAGGCGCGAAAGCGUGGGUAGCAAACGGG
RNAcentral lists this ribosomal RNA (256 nucleotides) under uncultured bacterium. RNAcentral's name for it is "partial 16S ribosomal RNA". It matches the Rfam family "Bacterial small subunit ribosomal RNA", at positions 521 to 776 of the family's 1533-position model. The record is from RNAcentral.